UUCUUAUCCAGAGAGACGGAGGGACUGCCCCUGCGAAGUCUCGGCAACCAGUGAUUCUUAACCGCCCGGUGCCAAAUUCAGAGCACACCUGUGCGAAGAUGAGAA
RNAcentral lists this non-coding RNA (105 nucleotides) under Salimicrobium flavidum. Its description in RNAcentral is "SAM-I sequence". It matches the Rfam family "SAM riboswitch aptamer (S box leader)". From Rfam's summary of the family: The SAM riboswitch is found upstream of a number of genes which code for proteins involved in methionine or cysteine biosynthesis in Gram-positive bacteria. The SAM riboswitch acts at the level of transcription termination control. The predicted structure consists of a complex stem-loop region followed by a single stem loop terminator region. The record is from RNAcentral. Lineage: Bacteria; Bacillati; Bacillota; Bacilli; Caryophanales; Bacillaceae.